RNAcentral lists this ribosomal RNA (392 nucleotides) under uncultured bacterium. RNAcentral's name for it is "partial 16S ribosomal RNA". It matches the Rfam family "Bacterial small subunit ribosomal RNA", at positions 523 to 918 of the family's 1533-position model. The record is from RNAcentral.
AUACGGAGGAUCCGAGCGUUAUCCGGAUUUAUUGGGUUUAAAGGGUGCGCAGGCGGCCAUUUAAGUCAGCGGUUAAAUCGUGGGGCUCAACCCCAUUCUGCCGUUGAUACUGGGUGGCUUGAUUGCGGUCGAGGUUGGCGGAAUUCGUUGUGUAGCGGUGAAAUGCAUAGAUAUGACGAAGAACACCGAUUGCGUAGGCAGCUGACCAGACCGCAAAUGACGCUCAUGCACGAAAGUGCGGGGAUCGAACAGGAUUAGAUACCCUGGUAGUCCGCACAGUAAACGAUGAAUACUCGCUGUUUGCGAUAUACAGUAAGCGGCCAAGCGAAAGCAUUAAGUAUUCCACCUGGGGAGUACGCCGGCAACGGUGAAACUCAAAUGAAUUGACGGGG